AUUGAACGCUGGCGGCAUGCCUUACACAUGCAAGUCGAACGGCAGCACGGGAGCUUGCUCCUGGUGGCGAGUGGCGAACGGGUGAGUAAUACAUCGGAACGUACCCAGUAGUGGGGGAUAACGCACCGAAAGGUGCGCUAAUACCGCAUACGACCUACGGGUGAACGCGGGGGACCGUAAGGCCUCGCGCUAUUGGAGAGGCCGAAGUCUGAGUAGCUAGUUGGGGAGGUAAAGGACCACCAAGGCUUCGAUCAGUAGCUGGUCUGAGAGGACGAUCAGCCACACUGGGACUAAGACACGGCCCAGACUCCUACGGGAGGCAGCAGGGGGGAAUUUUGGACAAUGGGCGAAAGCCUGAUCCAGCAAUGCCGCGUGUGCGAAGAAGGCCUUCGGGUUGUAAAGCACUUUUGUCAGGGAAGAAAUCUUUUAGGCUAAUACCCUGGAAGGAUGACGGUACCUGAAGGAUAAGCACCGGCUAACUACGUGCCAGCCGCCGCCGUAA
RNAcentral lists this ribosomal RNA (502 nucleotides) under uncultured bacterium. RNAcentral's name for it is "partial 16S ribosomal RNA". It matches the Rfam family "Bacterial small subunit ribosomal RNA", at positions 29 to 523 of the family's 1533-position model. The record is from RNAcentral.